AUGAAGAAUGCAGCUAGCUGCGAGAAUUAAUGUGAAUUGCAGGACACAUUGAUCAUCGACACUUUGAAUGCACUUGCAGCCCCGAGUUCCUCUUGGGGCUAUGCCUGUCUGAGAGUCG
This 118-nucleotide ribosomal RNA is filed under the name Pelodiscus sinensis (Chinese soft-shelled turtle). RNAcentral describes it as "5.8S ribosomal RNA". It matches the Rfam family "5.8S ribosomal RNA", at positions 36 to 154 of the family's 154-position model. Rfam says of the family: 5.8S ribosomal RNA (5.8S rRNA) is a component of the large subunit of the eukaryotic ribosome. The record is from Rfam by way of RNAcentral. Lineage: Eukaryota; Metazoa; Chordata; Testudines; Trionychidae.